This 29-nucleotide non-coding RNA is filed under the name Rattus norvegicus (Norway rat). Lineage: Eukaryota; Metazoa; Chordata; Mammalia; Rodentia; Muridae. The record is from RNAcentral.
UNGCUUGACUUGAGCUCAUCAGCCACCUC